Molecule: ribosomal RNA, 425 nt
Filed under: uncultured rumen bacterium
Lineage: Bacteria
Description: bacterial SSU rRNA
Rfam family: Bacterial small subunit ribosomal RNA
Source: RNAcentral
GUGAGGAAUAUUGGUCAAUGGCCGAGAGGCUGAACCAGCCAUGCCGCGUGCGGGAAGACGGCCCUAUGGGUUGUAAACCGCUUUUGCGAGGGAGCAAUAAGUGCUACGUGUAGCACGAUGAGAGUACCUUACGAAUAAGCAUCGGCUAACUCCGUGCCAGCAGCCGCGGUAAUACGGAGGAUGCAAGCGUUAUCCGGAUUUAUUGGGUUUAAAGGGUGCGUAGGCGGCUUCUUAAGCGUGAGGUGAAAUCCCGGAGCUCAACCCCGGCACUGCCUCGCGAACUGGGGAGCUGGAAUGCUCCUGCCGUGGGAGGAAUGUGUGGUGUAGCGGUGAAAUGCAUAGAGAUCACACAGAACACCGAUUGCGAAGGCAUCUCACGAAGGGGCGAUUGACGCUGAGGCACGAAAGCGUGGGGAUCAAACAGG